GGAUUUGAGUGUGAUGUGGCUACAACAUAUGUUACCCUAUCGAUCCCCAGGGUUGAUUUGGCUGUUCUGGCUAGCUUUGUCCCUCAUACUCCAUGUGUGUCCUGCCAGAAGCUGCACACUUGGUUGAAGAUGAUGACCACCACUGGUUAUAGGAACAUUUUCUCUAUCAAGGGUGCAUGAGUAGCUAUACUCCCCUGCUAGAACCUCCAAAAAAAGCUCUCAAAAUGAGAAUUUGAAUAAUAUAUAAUAUCUCCAAGAGGAAUUACAUCAAUUGUAGAGGGAAGUUCUAUCAUU
This 294-nucleotide small nuclear RNA is filed under the name Octodon degus (degu). RNAcentral's name for it is "7SK RNA (ENSODEG00000022998.1)". It matches the Rfam family "7SK RNA". Rfam says of the family: 7SK was discovered as an abundant small nuclear RNA in the mid-70s but a possible function has only recently been suggested. Two independent studies have found that 7SK RNA binds the CDK9/cyclin T complex (known as elongation factor P-TEFb). Lineage: Eukaryota; Metazoa; Chordata; Mammalia; Rodentia; Octodontidae. The record is from Rfam by way of RNAcentral.